GGUUAAGCGACUAAGCGUACACGGUGGAUGCCCUGGCAGUCAGAGGCGAUGAAGGACGUGCUAAUCUGCGAUAAGCGUCGGUGAGGUGAUAUGAACCGUUAUAACCGGCGAUUUCCGAAUGGGGAAACCCAGUGUGUUUCGACACACUAUCAUUAACUGAAUCCAUAGGUUAAUGAGGCGAACCGGGGGAACUGAAACAUCUAAGUACCCCGAGGAAAAGAAAUCAACCGAGAUUCCCCCAGUAGCGGCGAGCGAACGGGGAGGAGCCCAGAGCCUGAAUCAGUGUGUGUGUUAGUGGAAGCGUCUGGAAAGGCGCGCGAUACAGGGUGACAGCCCCGUACACAAAAAUGCACAUAUUGUGAGCUCGAUGAGUAGGGCGGGACACGUGGUAUCCUGUCUGAAUAUGGGGGGACCAUCCUCCAAGGCUAAAUACUCCUGACUGACCGAUAGUGAACCAGUACCGUGAGGGAAAGGCGAAAAGAACCCCGGCGAGGGGAGUGAAAAAGAACCUGAAACCGUGUACGUACAAGCAGUGGGAGCCUCUUUUAUGGGGUGACUGCGUACCUUUUGUAUAAUGGGUCAGCGACUUAUAUUCUGUAGCAAGGUUAACCGAAUAGGGGAGCCGAAGGGAAACCGAGUCUUAACUGGGCGUUAAGUUGCAGGGUAUAGACCCGAAACCCGGUGAUCUAGCCAUGGGCAGGUUGAAGGUUGGGUAACACUAACUGGAGGACCGAACCGACUAAUGUUGAAAAAUUAGCGGAUGACUUGUGGCUGGGGGUGAAAGGCCAAUCAAACCGGGAGAUAGCUGGUUCUCCCCGAAAGCUAUUUAGGUAGCGCCUCGUGAAUUCAUCUCCGGGGGUAGAGCACUGUUUCGGCAAGGGGGUCAUCCCGACUUACCAACCCGAUGCAAACUGCGAAUACCGGAGAAUGUUAUCACGGGAGACACACGGCGGGUGCUAACGUCCGUCGUGAAGAGGGAAACAACCCAGACCGCCAGCUAAGGUCCCAAAGUCAUGGUUAAGUGGGAAACGAUGUGGGAAGGCCCAGACAGCCAGGAUGUUGGCUUAGAAGCAGCCAUCAUUUAAAGAAAGCGUAAUAGCUCACUGGUCGAGUCGGCCUGCGCGGAAGAUGUAACGGGGCUAAACCAUGCACCGAAGCUGCGGCAGCGACGCUUAUGCGUUGUUGGGUAGGGGAGCGUUCUGUAAGCCUGUGAAGGUGGCCUGUGAGGGUUGCUGGAGGUAUCAGAAGUGCGAAUGCUGACAUAAGUAACGAUAAAGCGGGUGAAAAGCCCGCUCGCCGGAAGACCAAGGGUUCCUGUCCAACGUUAAUCGGGGCAGGGUGAGUCGACCCCUAAGGCGAGGCCGAAAGGCGUAGUCGAUGGGAAACAGGUUAAUAUUCCUGUACUUGGUGUUACUGCGAAGGGGGGACGGAGAAGGCUAUGUUGGCCGGGCGACGGUUGUCCCGGUUUAAGCGUGUAGGCUGGUUUUCCAGGCAAAUCCGGAAAACCAAGGCUGAGGCGUGAUGACGAGGCACUACGGUGCUGAAGCGACAAAUGCCCUGCUUCCAGGAAAAGCCUCUAAGCAUCAGGUAACAUCAAAUCGUACCCCAAACCGACACAGGUGGUCAGGUAGAGAAUACCAAGGCGCUUGAGAGAACUCGGGUGAAGGAACUAGGCAAAAUGGUGCCGUAACUUCGGGAGAAGGCACGCUGAUAUGUAGGUGAAGCGACUUGCUCGUGGAGCUGAAAUCAGUCGAAGAUACCAGCUGGCUGCAACUGUUUAUUAAAAACACAGCACUGUGCAAACACGAAAGUGGACGUAUACGGUGUGACGCCUGCCCGGUGCCGGAAG
Molecule: ribosomal RNA, 1849 nt
Filed under: Escherichia coli
Lineage: Bacteria; Pseudomonadati; Pseudomonadota; Gammaproteobacteria; Enterobacterales; Enterobacteriaceae
Description: partial 23S ribosomal RNA
Rfam family: Bacterial large subunit ribosomal RNA
Source: RNAcentral